Molecule: long non-coding RNA, 1036 nt
Filed under: Bemisia tabaci
Lineage: Eukaryota; Metazoa; Arthropoda; Insecta; Hemiptera; Aleyrodidae
Description: lncRNA ENSSSA1UGG008944
Source: RNAcentral
GUAAACCCAUAAAUAUACACUCGGAAAACGUCAAAUCGACGGUGCAAGUCCGCAAUCACAUAACUCGCUUUGCGACGUCGCAGAUAUCUGGCAUACUUCAUUCUUUACACGGAAUACUACUCAACGGCAAAUGAAACCCCCGAAAAAUCAGUGUUGAAGCUUGAAGCUUCUGUCUUUAUAUCGAUGGAUAUAAAUAUUUUCCAUAAGCUGUUAAAUGGUACUUGUUGUUUACUUGCUUUAAGAGAGAGGGGGGGAUUUGAUUUCGUGUUGCUUCUCCCAAUAAUGCGCUGAGACAGCAGAUUUGUCAGUUUCUUGCUUCCUGGUGCAGUUUAGGUGUUCUCUACCCCUUGUGUGUAUGUUCCUUUUUGUUUGCCCGAUAUAGACUUUGUCACACUCGUUACAUUCAAUUUUGUAUAUACCGGCUUUCUUUUGGUCGUCUAUUGGCUCCUCCAAGUCUUUGGAGAACUGUCGAUUCAAAUUGAACUUGUUAAAAUGACCAAAAGAAAGCCGGUAUAUACAAAAUUGAAUGUAAUGAGUGUGACAAAGUCUAUAUUGGGCAAACAAAAAGGAACGUACACACAAGGGGUAGAGAACACAUAAACUGCUUCAGUAAGCAAGAAACGGACGAAUCUGCUGUCCCGGCGCAUUAUUGGGAGAAACAACACGAAAUUAAAUCCCCCCCCCUCUCUCUCUCUUCUUAAAGCAAGUAAACAACAAGUACCAUUUAACAGCUUGGGAAAAUAUUUGUAUCCAUCGAUAUAAAGACAGAAGCUUCAACGCUGAUUUUUCGGGGGUUUCAAACCCAAUUUUUAAAGCCCUCGAUCAUCGGAGGGGAGCUGGAGAAAGGGGACAUGUCAACCUAAAGUCAUUCAAAAGCAGCGGUGGAUCAGUCGCUGAUGAUGGUCUCGCGACGAGACCGAAACGCGUCCGACCGGUAUAAAAAACGUGCAAGACUCAACUUCAGAGAGGGUACAAAUGCAGCAAAGAACAAUAACUUACAAAAGUACACCUGGAGCAAGGUGAAUAUGUCAAUAUC